This 475-nucleotide ribosomal RNA is filed under the name unidentified nematode Sourhope farm. RNAcentral describes it as "SSU rRNA". It matches the Rfam family "Eukaryotic small subunit ribosomal RNA", at positions 58 to 529 of the family's 1831-position model. Lineage: Eukaryota; Metazoa; Nematoda. The record is from RNAcentral.
UCUAAGUAUAACCUGCCAGACAGGGAAACUGCGUACGGCUCAUUACACCAGCCUUAAUUUACUUGACCUUGACAACCUACUUGGAUACCUGUGGUAAUUCUAGAGCUAAUACAUGCACCAAAGCUCCGAUCCUCGCGGAGAGGAGCGCAUUUGUUCGCCACAAAACCAAGCGCCCAUCUGGGCGUCCAGUGCUGAACCAGAACAACUCAGCUGAUCGCACGGUCUUGUACCGGCGACGUGUCUUUCAAGUGUCUGCCUUAUCAACUUUCGAUGGUAGUGUACCUGACUACCAUGGUUGUGACGGGUAACGGAGGAUAAGGGUUCGACUCCGGAGAAGGGGCCUGAGAAAUGGCCACUACGUCUAAGGAUGGCAGCAGGCGCGCAAAUUACCCACUCUCAACGCGAGGAGGUAGUGACGAGAAAUAACGAGACCGUUCUCAUACGAGGCCGGUUAUUGGAAUGGGUACAAUUUAAA